CAGUGGCCUAGUGGUUAGAGCAUUUGCCUCAUAUGCAGGAGGCUGCAUGUUCGAACCCUGGUCAGAUCAUACGA
Non-coding RNA from Potamilus streckersoni, 74 nucleotides. NCBI's taxonomy places the organism in Eukaryota, Metazoa, Mollusca, Bivalvia, Unionida, Unionidae. The record is from the annotation of a GenBank genome assembly.